GGUUACAAAUGCAAAGACGGUGAUAAACGCUUUCCCCUUUUCUCCUUCCUCCCUCCCGGAAUAGCUCUUAAAAAUUAGAGUUUAAACAUUGCCUCAGUCUGAAGAACGGAUUUAGUUCUCUGCAACUCACCCAAAAUCAGGUUGUUCCUCAGCAGCUUUGCUCUGCUGAGCUGUAGCCAUUAACCAUGGUGGUGCCUCAAGAAGCCCUGCCCUGGUGGCCGUGGGAGUACCCACUGGAAGCCUUGUGUGAGUCUUCAAGCCUUGGCUCAGGCUGGGACAGAAAAGGCAUCAGAAGCUUUUUUCCUGGGAAAAAGCCCUCAGCGAUGACCAAGCCUUGGGCUGGUGCAGCAGAAGAGCAGAGGUGGAUUCACGGACACAUACAUCUGCACAUAUGAACAUGCACAUCCCAGAGCCCCCAGAGAGCACCAAGAGGUGUCACUGUGCUUCAGUCUUCCCUUGAAAACGUGUGACUAGCUGAACAGCCGGGGAGGAAUCCUGUGAUGGGAGGUGGAAUGCAGCCUCUCAGGUCUUCCACUUGCUCGCUUUUACCCACACUGAAACUUGUGCUUCAGGAGUCGACAGAUAUCUCUGUGAUGUGUCAUUCCCUCUGGGCUGUGCAGGGAUGCUGCAAUCCCAGAACAACACGGGGAUGAAAAGCCUUCAGAAGAACAGGCGGGUGCUGGUGAUGGAUGAUCAUCGAAGGCAUCUGAAGGCUACAACAGCUCUUCUGUGGCUUUCUGGGUAGGAAGACUUCAGUGCUCCCUGUGGAGCCCACACUUCCCAAAGAUCAUGAUGCUGCUCAAAGCAAUAGGUAAGUGCUGAUGCUC
This is a long non-coding RNA of Neopsephotus bourkii (Bourke's parrot), 827 nucleotides long. RefSeq lists it as uncharacterized. The transcript is spliced from 4 exons. The record is from RefSeq and is a predicted model, not a curated record. NCBI's taxonomy places the organism in Eukaryota, Metazoa, Chordata, Aves, Psittaciformes, Psittacidae.